GCUCCCUGGCCUUCGUGCCUCAGUGUCAGGAACUGUCCAGAGACCCGCCUUCGCCACUGGUCUUCCUCACGAUAUCUACGCAUUUCACUGCUACACCGUGAAUUCCAGUCUCCUCUCCAGUCCUCAAGCACGCCAGUAUCAAAUGCAGUUUCGGAGUUAAGCUCCGAAAUUUCACACCUGACUUAGCGCGCCACCUACGCACCCUUUACGCCCAAUG
Molecule: ribosomal RNA, 217 nt
Filed under: uncultured soil bacterium
Lineage: Bacteria
Description: partial 16S ribosomal RNA
Source: RNAcentral